RNAcentral lists this ribosomal RNA (484 nucleotides) under uncultured bacterium. Its description in RNAcentral is "partial 16S ribosomal RNA". It matches the Rfam family "Bacterial small subunit ribosomal RNA", at positions 30 to 507 of the family's 1533-position model. The record is from RNAcentral.
AUUGAACGCUGGCGGCAGGCCUAACACAUGCAAGUCGAGCGGAUGAAGGGAGCUUGCUCCUGGAUUCAGCGGCGGACGGGUGAGUAAUGCCUAGGAAUCUGCCUGGUAGUGGGGGAUAACGUCCGGAAACGGGCGCCAAUACCGCAUACGUCCUGAGGGAGAAAGUGUGGGAUCUUCGGACCUCACGCUAUCAGAUGAGCCUAGGUCGGAUUAGCUAGUUGGUGGGGUAAAGGCCUACCAAGGCGACGAUCCGUAACUGGUCUGAGAGGAUGAUCAGUCACACUGGAACUGAGACACGGUCCAGACUCCUACGGGAGGCAGCAGUGGGGAAUAUUGGACAAUGGGCGAAAGCCUGAUCCAGCCAUGCCGCGUGUGUGAAGAAGGUCUUCGGAUUGUAAAGCACUUUAAGUUGGGAGGAAGGGCAGUAAGUUAAUACCUUGCUGUUUUGACGUUACCAACAGAAUAAGCACCGGCUAACUUCGUG